Molecule: ribosomal RNA, 859 nt
Filed under: Pandoraea sp. HPC154
Lineage: Bacteria; Pseudomonadati; Pseudomonadota; Betaproteobacteria; Burkholderiales; Burkholderiaceae
Description: bacterial SSU rRNA
Rfam family: Bacterial small subunit ribosomal RNA
Source: RNAcentral
UGGACGCUGGCGGCAUGCCUUACACAUGCAAGUCGAACGGCAGCACGGGUGCUUGCACCUGGUGGCGAGUGGCGAACGGGUGAGUAAUACAUCGGAACGUACCUUGUAGUGGGGGAUAGCUCGGCGAAAGCCGGAUUAAUACCGCAUACGCUCUGAGGAGGAAAGCGGGGGACCUUCGGGCCUCGCGCUACAAGAGCGGCCGAUGUCAGAUUAGCUAGUUGGUGAGGUAAAAGCUCACCAAGGCGACGAUCUGUAGCUGGUCUGAGAGGACGACCAGCCACACUGGGACUGAGACACGGCCCAGACUCCUACGGGAGGCAGCAGUGGGGAAUUUUGGACAAUGGGCGAAAGCCUGAUCCAGCAAUGCCGCGUGUGUGAAGAAGGCCUUCGGGUUGUAAAGCACUUUUGUCCGGAAAGAAAUCCUCUGGGUUAAUACCUCGGGGGGAUGACGGUACCGGAAGAAUAAGCACCGGCUAACUACGUGCCAGCAGCCGCGGUAAUACGUAGGGUGCAAGCGUUAAUCGGAAUUACUGGGCGUAAAGCGUGCGCAGGCGGUUUUGUAAGACGGAUGUGAAAUCCCCGGGCUUAACCUGGGAACUGCAUUCGUGACUGCAAGGCUAGAGUAUGGCAGAGGGGGGGUAGAAUUCCACGUGUAGCAGUGAAAUGCGUAGAGAUGUGGAGGAAUACCGAUGGCGAAGCAGCCCCCUGGGCCAAUACUGACGCUCAUGCACGAAAGCGUGGGGAGCAACAGGAUUAGAUACCCUGUAGUCCACGCCCUAACGAUGUCAACUAGUUGUUGGGGAUUCAUUUCCUUAGUAACGUAACCUAACCGCGUGAAGUUGACCGCCUGGGGGAGUAC